UCGUCUCUGGCGUCGUUUCCUGCUGGUGCAAAUCCUGGUCUAUAGGUGGGCGAGCACGUGGCACCGGCGGGGCGGUGUAUUUGGCAGGGACGGAGGGUGAUGAGGGCUCGAGCGCCAGGGGCUGCCGAUGGUACCGCGCCGUUUAGCACGGAAGAUCUUCGAAGGUGGCGGAAGAGUGGAGAGCCGUGAUGGGCGAGCGGAGGGGCCGCGGUGGCGAGGCGGGAGAUGAAGAUGGCUUUCGGGAUAGAGCCCGGUGGCGGCGGCGGAGGGGCGUUGAGGGAGCGGCCCCCGCUGCAGGGCAGCAGCGGCGGAGGCGGAGGCGGGGUCGCGGAAGGAGCGGCCUCUGGCUCCGCCACGGCCCCCGUACCCCCUUCCAGAGCCGGCACGAUAAGCUAUACCUGCCGCACGAGACGUUGUCGCUCCUCGGCAGCGCGGCGCGGCGGCACCUGCAGAAGCGGCUCUACCCGCAGCUGCAGUGGCACCUACUGAAGUAGGGGAAGUGCCCGUGUCCGCUCCGGUUAAAGGAACCUCCACAACGGUCCCACUUUCCUCACUUUCGAAAGUCAUGACUUUCGCGGUUCUUCGCGAAAAAACUCUAUAUGGAACUGUUCAUACGAUUUGGUUUAAGACCUUAACCCAAGGGUCCCCGAGACCUUGAGUAGUACCUCACGUUUUUGCGUCCAGACUUCCAGCGACAACGUAGAUCGCGACUAUCCCAAUUCCAACUGCGUUUAGACCGCCGACGACCAAACGGACAUAGCGAUAAACUACGAUAACAAAGGCGACUACGAAAACUUUUAAAUUUCGGACGAGGUCUGUAUAAGGAACGUCGUAGAUUCUUGAAUCCACAACUGUGCCUACUCACGUAGCACUAUCUUCUACGCGAACGACCUCAAGUUCGACGCUUUCGACGCCUUUAUGCUACAUAACGACACUGCUGAAGAGAUCUACUUCUACGUAAUGUUGUUCGGUCAGGACACAAGUAGUCUUUUCUGUAACCUCUAUAAAGUUAAUUACUGUAGAACAUACCACCAAGAUUACGAAUGGUGUUACUUGCCUGUCUUUUAUGGCUCUUAUAAUCAAGGAAUCCUUUACGAAGAGGACUUUAAGACUUACCUCGUUGAUUACGACUUAGACAACUCUUAUGUUUGAGAAGUUCAAGCUUUCCGGUUCCCAACAACCCAAGAGCAGCCCUAUAUAAUUCUAUACCUUCAGAACCUUAUCGAAAAAGUACAGAAAAGAAAUGUUAGCCUUUAACCUUCCGUUACGUCAAGCGUAGAGGAUUUCCAGACGAAUUAAAAAAGUGCCCACCCUUGUCAAGUUAAAAACGUUGAUUACUUCCUCUUAGUGACAGUAGUUCUCAAGUCGUUUAUUUCUUCAUAAAUCGACUAAAACUUUGACCCCCGAGACGGUGAAUGCAUGGACUCAAGGGUUCUUUCGAGCUGACCGACUUAUGUCGGGGUGAAGUCAAACCUUCUCUAAAUUUUCCUUCUCAUCAGCACAACCUAAAAACCUGUAUGACGACGUAGUUGACGUACGUACAGAACGGUCUGGACCUCAAAUAUCUCUUCUUCAUAUUUCUAUUUGGAAAGUGACAACAACCACACGUAAGACGGUUUAAACUAUUACUUUUUCUAGAACUUCGGUAGGCGUCACGACAGGACGCGAUGUUACAAUGAGUAGGUCAACAUUUACUGCCACUGUACAUGAACACCUCUCUUGACCCCCACUUGAGAACCGGCUGCAAACACCAACAGCGCGGGUUACCUUUCCAAGAUCGUGUUUAUAGUCCGCUUCCGGUGUCUUUCCUGGAACUACUGCAUCAACCACGUCGUGAACUCAAAAUACUACUUUCCUUUAAUGAUGUCUUAUUAAGGGAGGGGAACCGUAACCUCUUCCUGUCCCUACCAGCUAAUUAUUGAAGUGGUGAUUUCAAAGGACCCUUUGAACGUUAACUACAUGUCUUGUUAGCUAAUAAAUAUAGUCUGUCAUUGGUGUUAGCUUAACACCAGUGAUUGGACCUGCCCCUUAAAUAUACGGUUCAACCUUCAAGCCUUCUUCCUGAUGAACUACCGGUUAAACUAUGACGGAGCAAAUUAGCGGGAGUUCCAGAACGUAUGUUAAAGUUUUUCUUAUAGGAUAUACAUCGCCUGUGACUCUUGGUACGUGACGCUCUCCAACUAAAACAAUUGCUCUGACAGUCUUGUGAUCGACCUUUACCCUGGUUUCCAAGGCUGAUGCUUCCUCCUCCGGCUCCUUGAUUAGUCCAAGAUUUAAGUGGUACCCUACAGACGAUACGAGGGAGCCUCCUCUGGCACAUGUAACGCUACCGCCCUGUUGUAGUUUAGACCUUUGUGUUGUGGGAACUACCACAUUGACUUCAAAAGUCACCAUUACCGAGGCUUUUUUUAGACUUACCAAGUUCGGGGUGGUUGUGUAGCAAACGCGUCGGUAGACCCUAAAGUAACCUAGGACUUGACCUCCUCAAUAAACAACGACUAUCACUUUCGUCAAGGUAAGCUCGACAAUUAAACUUCAGUCCCCCCAGUUCUACCGAACGACCCCCUCUAGGUUUAAAAGGUCUAUUAAACAAAUCCAAACCGCUAGUACUACCCUGACCGACCCUACACGAUGAGGUCGUAGGGAACCCACAACAGAUACGAUCGCUAUUAGUUUAUAUACAACGUCUAAGGAUAUUAGUGUUCUAUUUUUUCAAUCUAGGGCAGUGUUUUUUUCAAUGUUGCUAACGACCAUGACCUGCACGUCCUAUGUACCUACCACUACGGAACAGUCGAGUUGAUAGACUCGGUCGUCCUGAACAACUUCAACCUCUUCCUUCUAAAGAACAUCGUCUAUGUUUGUUGUCACGUUAGUCUAGAUAUCAAGACUUACUCUCUCCACGACUCCACGCGUGUGAUCUAAACUGACCUCACGUCGGCGGUAGUGGUUUUGGCUUCCGCAACUCUGCGGAUUCUGCUGCCAAUAGUCGUCUGUGUUUACAAUAAUUACAACUACCACCAAGGAGUUACCUUCCUAUACACAGAGAACGUUAGAGUCAAGGAAUACCAAUGGUAAAGAGCUUCCUUCGAGCGUCGUUUAAACUACACCUUUGUCUUGGUCGAUUACGUUAACUCUAGCUCGGUCACUUACCUAGAGAUUUGAGUCUACCCGUCCGCAGUGAGUUCAAGUUUUCUUGUAGUAGUAGUAGUAGUUGUCCUUCCUAGUUGACGUUCCAAAUGAUGACGUUUCUUCUACUUCAAACAGAAAUGGUUAGACACCGAAAACUACAGUUUAAGGUUCUCCCCCAUGGGUCAGGACGUGGUUAAUGAGAUCGGAUAUGACACCACGGCUCUCUAUUAAGUCCCUCAAGCGUCAAUUACCGACGACCAUUCUUGAACAUUCCAUAUCAAUCUAGGUCCCACCAACGCAUGGCAUGUAAGAACAGGACUUACACUAAAACGGAGAUCAGAUACAACACACCGACUGUACGUCGGAGUGGGAACGAGGUGAGUAUAGGGGCACCGACCACCCUGUAGUUUGCACUAAUCAAUAUAUUAUAACGGACAGGUAACUAACAAACUUGUGGGUAUACUUCAGGUAAACAGUAGGUUGCUCUUAGUAGAAAUAGGUUUAGUGACUACUUAAACGAAACGUGACUUGUUUGGCUCAAGUCGUACGUAACAUCACCGCACGUACACAAAACUUUCCUCCUAUGUACACACUAGGAGUGGGAAAAAGAAACGUGUUUUCGAGAACCCCUAGCCUUUAAAAAUAAAGUAAAUUGACUAAAUAAUAAUCAGAACGUGUACCCGUAGAUCCCCGUUAGUAAACUAAUCAAUAGGUUAAUCCCUCAACUCUGCACAGAGUAGUUCUUAGAGUUCAAACCUAUAGUUGUAUCUCUUUCCCACAACUCUUCAGGUUAUUUUAUUUAUUUACUUCUGUGUGUUUGCCACAACUACAGGUACUUAUGUUUUAAAUCUGUACAGUUGGAUCGUAAGUCAAACAUGACUAGGUCUGCAAUACAUGGAGGACAGUCAAAACAAACAAUCCUCGCUGUACUUCUUGUUAUAGUCGACAGUACCGGGGAAGGACAGGUUGUAUAUUCAUACAAUCGACUAUCGAGGAAGUUAAACACUAUAACGAAUAGUACCGGCCAUAGCGAAGUAUUAGUUAUGUAGAACGUGGUACUGGUAAUAAGAGGACACUUCUAUAGUUAUCCUAAUCUAACGUUCGUCGUGACCAAGUUCUCGCACCCUUCCUCCCUAAGGUAGUUCAAAAAACAAUUUAACACUAGGUUUAAUAUUAUACAACCUGAUCUGCAUCAUGUUGGCCACACCCGAAAACACAACUGCAGCUGCGCAUGCUCAUGUUGAGCAAAUGAACAGGAGGUUCCUGAGAGUACAUAACGGGAGUAUAUAUGAGGUACAUCAGCGUGUAGUCUGCCAGACAGCAGAGCACGAACAUUAUGAGGAGGUAGUAUCACUAACGCGGAAGCACGCAGGCACCAAAAGAGGG
Molecule: ribosomal RNA, 4515 nt
Filed under: Triticum aestivum (bread wheat)
Lineage: Eukaryota; Viridiplantae; Streptophyta; Magnoliopsida; Poales; Poaceae
Description: partial small subunit ribosomal RNA
Source: RNAcentral